UGAGCUCAAAUCAGGUAGGACUACCCGC
This 28-nucleotide ribosomal RNA is filed under the name Bjerkandera adusta. Its description in RNAcentral is "partial large subunit ribosomal RNA". Lineage: Eukaryota; Fungi; Basidiomycota; Agaricomycetes; Polyporales; Phanerochaetaceae. The record is from RNAcentral.